AGUUUCUUUAGGAAUCUUAAAAUACUCUAGAAGUGGGAGGCAGAGACAAGAUGGCAGAUUGAAGCCAAGUGCCCUACCUCCUUGCAUCCUUCAGAUUCCAGACAAGAUAUGAAGUACAGAAACUAUCCUUAAGGGACUCAAAGAAUUCCCUUGAUGAUCUCCCUGGCUCUGAUCCAUGGCCAUUGUCUGAUCUUAUCCUGUGACCUAAUGCUGCCUGACUUCCUGGCAUUUAAGAGCAUGGAGGGAUGAUCUAUGUCUGGAAAAGAGUAACCUGAAGAUAUGACAGGAUGAGUUCUCUGUGGGAGACACAAGACCAUUCUUGUCUGUUUCAUCAACAUCAGAUGUUCCUCUGGAGCAAAUGACAGUAUACCUGAGUCUACCUGAUAUUCUCCACCAUGCCUACAAAUACCCUGGAAUCUCACUUUCUUCCAGAACUUCAGACACUGAAGUACUCUGUGUCCAUGUGGUCUCUCCCUCUGAUUGGUUACUUUCUCCCAGAAGCUCUACUUUAAGGAAAAGGCCCAAGCCAUCUCUCUCUGUCUCUGUCUCUCCUUUCUCUUUCUCUUUCUCUGUAUCUCUGUCUCUCUCUGUCAGUCACUCUCUUUUGUCUUUCUCUCAGGGCAAAAAUUCAUUGCUUAAUAAAGAAACUUCUUUCAAUACAGACAAUAAGGACUUCAAAAAGUUCAAGCAUGAUUACUUAAAUCAAUUAUUUUUUUAUUUUUUUCUUCACUAAAUAAAAUGUUUUUACAUAAAAGCAAAUACAAACAAACUUGUAAUCACAAUUUAUUUAAUGAGAGUGGAUGAGACGGACACCAAAAUAAUUUUAUGAAUUAGAGUAUGGUAAUUGAAAAGCAGUGGUUAACAGAGUGGUUUGGGGUACUCAAGGAGGAGGAGCUGUAUAUGGAGUGAGAAAUCAUGAUUUAGGUGGUUAACCAGCCUUUGAAGAUAAGUAGGAUUCCUAGCUUGGGGAGGUGGGGCAUUGUUCCAUUGUUCCAUUCAAGUGGAGGAGCUGAUUUAUUAAAAAGCAUAGAUGUCUAUGCUUAUGAUGAAGCAUAUGAUGAAAUUGAAAAAC
Molecule: long non-coding RNA, 1072 nt
Filed under: Sarcophilus harrisii (Tasmanian devil)
Lineage: Eukaryota; Metazoa; Chordata; Mammalia; Dasyuromorphia; Dasyuridae
Description: lncRNA (ENSSHAG00000026208.1)
Source: RNAcentral